This 253-nucleotide ribosomal RNA is filed under the name uncultured bacterium. Its description in RNAcentral is "partial 16S ribosomal RNA". It matches the Rfam family "Bacterial small subunit ribosomal RNA", at positions 524 to 776 of the family's 1533-position model. The record is from RNAcentral.
UACGGAGGGUGCUAGCGUUGUUCGGAUUUACUGGGCGUAAAGCGCACGUAGGCGGGUCGUUAAGUCAGGGGUGAAAUCCCGGAGCUCAACUCCGGAACUGCCUUUGAUACUGGCGACCUUGAGGCUGGAAGAGGUUAGUGGAAUUCCCAGUGUAGAGGUGAAAUUCGUAGAUAUUGGGAAGAACACCAGUGGCGAAGGCGGCUAACUGGUCCAGAUCUGACGCUGAGGUGCGAAAGCGUGGGGAGCAAACAGG